Long non-coding RNA from Penaeus indicus, 5641 nucleotides. RefSeq lists it as uncharacterized. The transcript has 2 exons. NCBI's taxonomy places the organism in Eukaryota, Metazoa, Arthropoda, Malacostraca, Decapoda, Penaeidae. The record is from RefSeq and is a predicted model, not a curated record.
CAGGACCCUUAUAUACAAUGGAAGCCAGAAACAAGUGGCCAUCACAGCAAUUCUGGUUAUCCUUUGUGUCCAACCAACUCUGUAAUGAAUAUGAAUAUGAAGGAGGAACCUGCCAUCGACCCCGUCAAUACUCUGAAAUGUCCUUACUGUCCCAAGACUUUCCUCUACCCUGCCAAACUGCAAAGCCACCUACGAACUCACACGGGAGAGAAACCUUUCGCCUGCCCUUUCUGCACGUACCGAGCUACGCAACAAGGAAACCUCAACCGCCACAUUAAGAUUAAGCAUCACAGAGAGAACCCAGAAAACCCGGAAGGUAAUUAGAUGAUGAUAAUUGUGUGUAUUGUUGUUACAUGAAAUAACAUUGUAACAUUGUUUUUUUUAGAACUGGAUAGAAGAUCUUUAGGAAUCAGUGGUGCAUUGAUUAUCAUUAUUAAAGUGCAGAAAAAGAGCGUUUUAUAAGAAAUGAAAAAAAAAACUUUUAACAAAUUACUUGAUCAACUAUGCAAUAAUAUCUUAGGAGUUUUUAAAGUUUUGAAAGAAAAUAAAUAGUUGUGGUCAUCAAACCCUUUAAUUAUAGUAGUAAGAUAAACAAAUUUCUUUGGUAAUAGAAGAAAGGAGCAUGUUCUAUUAGCUUUCAGGAGCAAUGGAUAAUAAACACUUUUAAAGAACAGUCAGAAAAAGCUAACAUAUAUGAUAUGAUUUAUGCAUGUGUGUGUGUGUGUAUGUCUGUGUGUAAGAGUGUAUGUAUGUAUGUCAGAGUGUAUGUGUGUGUGUAAGAGUGUGAGUAUGUGUGUGUGUAUGUGUGUGUGUGUGUGUGUGUGUGUGUGUGUGUGUGUGUGUGUGUGUGUGUGUGUGUGUGUGUGUGUGCAUGUGAGUAUUUAAGUAUGUGUUUAUAUUCAUGCAAGCUCACUAAAAAAUUAUUGUCAAGUUUGUGCCGAUCAGGACUGGGAGACGGGAAUGGCAAUUUGACUUUUUUUUUUUUCUUUCUUUUUCCCCUUUGUCUUUCAUAUUGUACACUGAUUUGAGAUUAUUUAUAUGAUACAGUAUUGUUUGGAUAUUCCUUACAAUAUAUAAUAACUACAGCCAAUACCUCUCCCAAUAAAGGAAAUGAAUUGAAGUAAAUGAAUGACCGCUUGCCAUUAGUGACUAUUUUAGGGAUUUCUGCCUUUUUUCUUAACUUUGAAUUCCAUCUGGAAAUUAAGCAUAUAAGUUGGCUGAAUUUCUUUGUACAGUUGCUUUUGCAGUGUUAUACAAAUUAAUAGUAUUAUAAUUCCAGUGUCACAUAAUGAAAAGGUUGACAAGUUAGUCAGUUUAAGAGAAUUAGUUGUUUCAUAAUGCAAGACCUAUGGGCAUAUUUGCAUUUUUGUAGUUGUAGAUACAUUCAGAUAAGUAAGGAGAGAUGAAGACAAGGUUGAAUGGCUUCAUGGUAGAAUGCUCUCAUGACUACCUCUUAAUAGUAAGGUUCCUAGAAUAAAUAUUUAUUUGUACAUAUUAAACUUUUUACGUAGAGCAAGACUGUGUCACCUGCAUCUAGUGGAUUCCAGAUAAUGAAGUUUCAUUUUCUUAAGGAUUUUAAUUUCAUGUGCAUAAAAUGUGUACUAGUGUUAUGAAGGUAAUUUUCUCCCUUAAGCAUCUAUGUGAUUAGUGGUUUAAGAGACGUAGCAGUUAUCUAGCCUCUGGUAAGUAAUAUCUUACCAAUCAGAUUACUGUAAAACAAAAGAGUAUAAACAGCUAGUUACCAGUUACUUGAAAGACUGAUAGAAAUGGGUGCUAAGUUCAUAUUACAAAUGAUGCUUAUGCACCUUGAAUUAUAAUAAUGGAAUGUAUAUAGAUAAAAAAUGGUCAGAGUUCUGGUUCUCAGAUGAUAGUUAGCAUUUGAUCAUAGGGAAUGGAUAUGCUAUAAUUGUGUAUGUUUUUGAUGAAAAUGUUGGCCAUAUGAUUGUUAGGCAUACUUUUUGUUUAACAAAAACAGUUGCAAAGUUCUCAGUGAAUUAUUUAGGAAGACCCUUUCCUCUCUUCUUCCUUUUUAUCUCAAGAUAUCAUUUCUCCUUCCACUAUCACAGACUGCAACAGAAAAUUCAAAUGAAAAAAAAAGGAAGGAACAACUGUGGGCAUUUUGUAUUUUCCAUAACUUGAACACUCUCAGCAAAUAAUAUUUUGGUAUUUUAAAUAUUUUGGUAUUUUAAAUUUAUGUGGAAAAUUGGAUAAUUUAUUUGUCAUUCUAGGUAUUAUACACCAUGGUAGUAUAUAAAGGCAUUGACAUCUCAGUCUAGCCCAAGGGUAAUGUAAUUGUCAAUGCAUAUAAUCCUCAUUAAUGAUUAUAAUAGAACACAGACCCAACACUAACUCAAGGUGACUUUAGGUUGAUUCCCUUACCAUCCCCAACAUGUGCUGGCAAUACCACAGCCUCUGCCCCUCAGGGAUCUUGUUUUAUGGAGACCACAUUGUUAAAAGGAUUAGUAGGGUCUUGUUUCUAUAAGGUAUAGGCGUUAUGUAACUUUUGGAGAGUAACCUGUACUUGUAAACAAAGAUAUUUUAAUAACAGACCAAUUGCCUCUUUAAGGUGCUGCUCAUUUUCUAGAUCUUACAAGCACUUGCGUGUCUGUUUCUGUUUUUCCAUAUGUUUCAGGCACUUGAAAGUUCAAAUAAUACAUUUUUUACAUUGCUUAAUGUAGAAGACCAGGCACAUGAAAUGUUUGAUGUUGGUAUUUGACUUACCCAUUGAUGUGGGGAUGGCAUGUACAUAAAUGCCUUGUCCACUAUGAUUCCCCUCAAUAUGUUUAAGACCUCACUUUCCAUUGUUUCUGUUUCCUGCUAUUUUUCUUUCAUCAUCAGAUCAGUUAUUUUAAGCCACAGAUCAUUGGUAGAUGUUGAUUUCCACAUAUCAAGUUUCAUUCCCUUUGGUGCAUCACACAACUACUGAUAUAUGGUAAAAAAGUUGAAUUUUUGUCCAAGAUUCAAAGAAGUGAACAUCUGGUUUCUUAGCUUUCAGAUAUGCAAAUGCAGUUAAGAGAAGUUCCUUCCUUUUUAUUUUUUCUGGGUAUUGUGAAUCACAUUAUUCUUUUGCAAAGAAGUAUACCCUAGAACUGUAGUGGAGGGGGAAAUUGAUAUAUCAAAUGCAACUUUGCCAUUUUCCACAAUGUGUAAGAUAAAAGCUUUCAAGUCUUGUAGCUCUUGCAUUAGUUUGGUCUUCUGUGCUUCCAUAGAUGGUAGUUAAGAAAUGUGUUCAGAUUGUAAAUGAGCUGAUACAUGGUCUGUGUGGCAGUUGAUAAAUAUAUUUUAUCUUGAAAAUAUACAAAUACAGGAGAGGAGAAAAGGAGUAGAAAUAGAGUAACAUCUGUUUGAUUGAUAUUAUAUUCUGUGGUCAAAUGUUCAUCUACAAAAUGAAUUAAUGCACUUUGUACAAAUAUUAUUUUUUAAAUGUUUUACAAGGAAAUGAAGGAAUGAUGUAUUGAAUUUUAUCUUUGUUCAUUUAUAUAAUUUAAAAAGAGGAAACCAAUUAUUAUAGCUUCUUAUCUGUAGAUUGAAUUUUAUGUAGUAGUUGUAUAAAUAACUGACAUAAAUGGUGUAUUUCAGUAGUCAUAAAAGGAUUUAAGAUGAAAAACUUUCAAGUUCACUAACAUCUAAUUAUAACUAUCUCAGGAUAUUAAGCAGGAUUAUCCUUUAGAGAUAGGACAUGUUUGUUUUAAAGGACAUGUUACAUGAAUGACCACACAAGAAAUAUAUCAGCUAAUGUAUAGUUAAAACAAGUCUGUAAUAGAAUUAACAGUACGUGUAUUAGGUCCCAGUUCAUCAAGACCACACAAACAUGUCAAAUUUUAAUAUUAUGUGGUAUUUUUAUUUGAUUAGAGUGUUUACAACUUUUUGAUGAAGUAUAUUGAAUUGAACUGUUUUUAUUUAUGAAUAAUUUGUGUCUGGGAUAAUCCGAUAUGAUUAGUAAUAUCUAUGUGGAUUAAUAAUAGAGAAUGACUACAUGCAGAUCUUUUCAAAUGCAGUGUCAGUUAGUAGACUAAUACAUCAGAAGGUUAAUUUCAGUAAUUUCAAGUUCUGUGUUGUGUUUUCUCAUGUGUAUGUUGAGAAUUUUACACAAAGUGCCAUAUAGAUAUUUUACCUGCAUUGCAUUUGCCAAAAUGCCAAUAUUUUUACCUUAGAAAGGUGGUGCCAUUUAGGAAAAAAUGUUACUGUAUUUCAGUUUUAAGACAGAGAUAUUCAAUUAUUUAAAUAUGCAUUUUGGUGAAGCAUCAGAAUUUGUAUUUAAGAUAUAUUUUCUUUUUGACUAUUAUGGAACUAAAGUUUUAACCCAUUUAAUUUAUCAUCCACAGUGGUUUUGUUUUAUUCAUUUCUUUGUCACAUAAAUGGCUUCUCAAGUGCUUAGUCACCAAGGGGUUAACUGCAACUACUAGGUCUACCUUAAUUCACCUAUUUUUCUUAUUCCUUGAAUUUUCUGUUGUUAAUAUAAUUAUUAUAAACAUUAUUGUUAUUACUAUUAUCUUUCUCAUUUUUCCAAUAUUGGCUACAGUAAUAGUAAUAGUUUUGCCGUCUUAAAAAUUAAAGGAAUGGGAUCAUUGCUGUGGUUAGGUAGGCCUAGCCAUUGACUCCUUCAUAACUCUUUCUCAAGACAUCUAUUUAUAAACAAAGUUAAUAAACAACUACAGUUUACUUAAUAAUUGACUCCUUGGUGGCUAUUUUUUUCUCAAGCCAUCUGUGUGUAAACAGAAUUAAUUAAACAAGACCACAGUGCACUCCCAGCAUUAACAGGUUAAUGUAUUAUAUGUUAUCUUUAUCUGUAUCUUGUGUCAGGACAUGUUUCAAAGAUAGUAGAUUUUUUCCUUAAUUAAGUAAUAGCAUCACUUUUAUUUCAUUCUGUACAAUUUCUUCCAUUGAAUAUCCUAUUAGAUUUAAUAAGUACCUAUAGUAUGCCAAUUCACAGUAUGUCAUGAGAAGCACUUGUGAUAGAGUAAUAGUAAUAGUUAUAAUAGGAAUGCAGUUCUUGCAGGCAAAUAAGAUACUGGCUGUAUAUAUAUCUAGUCAAUGGUCCUUUAAGUGUAAUUUCCAAACCUGACUAAAGGAUAUCACUAUUCAGGGACGAGUACAAGAAUGUCUUUAUGUGUUUUGGUAAUGAGGAUUAUGUUUCAUUCCAAGCUGUCAAAGUAUUUGUAUGGGAUAAUACCAAAGUUGAUUUUAUUUCUUAUACAGGAUGUGUUUUUUUUUAUGUAUAUAUGUAAUAUUUCCGUCUCAUUGGGAAUUUGACAUUGGUAUAUUGUAAAAGGAAUCAGUAUAUGAUUUUAUUAAUGAUGACAAGAAAUUCUGUUUUAUUUUUCACAACAAAGGACACUGUAUUCAUCCUAUAAUGACAUUAAGGUGUAAGUAGUGAAUAUGGUCAACCAAAAGUGUAUUUGUAAAAAUUAUAUACCAAGCUUCUGUUUCCUUUUCACCAAACAGGUUAUUUGAAAUUUAAUGAAUCUCAUGAUUAACCACAUGUUGAGGGUUAGUUAUUAGUGCUGUACAAGUGGUCAAACAAAGUUCAUAUGACUCAAGUAUAUGCACCACAUUUUUUCACUUAGUGAUGUAAUAUAUGUAUAUAUUUGUGAUAAUCAUCUUUGAUACUUUGUAGAUGAGAAUUAAAAGAUAGAAUUGA